UUUUGGACAAUGGGGGAAACCCUGAUCCAGCCAUGCCGCGUGCGGGAAGAAGGCCUUCGGGUUGUAAACCGCUUUUGUCAGGGAAGAAACGCUCUGGGUUAAUACCCUGGGGUAAUGACGGUACCUGAAGAAUAAGCACCGGCUAACUACGUGCCAGCAGCCGCGGUAAAACGUAGGACGCAAGCGUUAUCCGGAGUUACUGGGCGUAAAGCGCGGGCAGGCGGUGAUUUAAGUCUGAUGUGAAAGCUCCCGGCUCAACCGGGAGAGGCCAUUGGAAACUAAAUCGCUGGAGGGCAGUAGAGGUAGGCGGAAUUCCGGGUGGAGUGGUGAAAUGCGUAGAGAUCCGGAGGAACACCAGAGGCGAAGGCGGCCUACUGGGCUGCACCUGACGCUGAGCCGCGAAAGCCAGGGGAGCGAAC
This 419-nucleotide ribosomal RNA is filed under the name uncultured bacterium. RNAcentral describes it as "bacterial SSU rRNA". It matches the Rfam family "Bacterial small subunit ribosomal RNA", at positions 362 to 773 of the family's 1533-position model. The record is from RNAcentral.